Molecule: long non-coding RNA, 524 nt
Organism: Crotalus tigris (Tiger rattlesnake)
Lineage: Eukaryota; Metazoa; Chordata; Lepidosauria; Squamata; Viperidae
Exons: 2
Source: RefSeq, a predicted model, not a curated record
CACAACAAAUGAAUCAUUCUGAUCUCUUCUUCAGACACAUGCUCUUGCUUCUGUACCUGAGAGCAUUCAAAAGACACAGUUUGGGCAGGUAGGAAUCGCUUUGGAUUUCAGCAAAAGGCAACGCAGAAGAUUCUAUACAAAGUCCUAUGUUUCACUCAAAAUUGCUCAGGAGGUCUUCCAGCUUUCAACAGAGCUUUUCAAGGCAUACAGCAAGAAAACCCAGUGAUUCUUUAUACAUUUUCUCCCUGGCACUGAGCACCCUUAGCUGUAACACUGAAGAAAUAAAGGCCAAGGAAAUAUCUGCAAGGAAAGAAAUGGGUUUCUGAAUUCUUCCUCCGGAGUCGUGGCAUUCUAAGUAACCUCAAAGAAGAAAAUCUAAUGAAUCAUUCAGCCCCUGGGACUUCUGGUCAAGAAUUGUUGCAUUGCAAUUUGUGAUAUGUGACAUGGAAUCUGGCUCAAUGUCCAAAGAAGUUAAUCUUUAUAUGUUUUUCGAUUCUUUCUUAUUAAACUUCUAGAUGACUCUA